Molecule: long non-coding RNA, 2952 nt
Filed under: Equus caballus (horse)
Lineage: Eukaryota; Metazoa; Chordata; Mammalia; Perissodactyla; Equidae
Description: lncRNA (ENSECAG00000046438.1)
Source: RNAcentral
CUGAUCAUGUGAUUUGAUCUAUUCCUUACCCCACUUUCUCUUUGAUGGUUGUUCAUGGUGUUUCUUUUAUUAUAAUACUACAAAUAAAAUCCCGAAUAAACUCAAACAUUUGAAACCAUAUCUAUUACUAUAAAAUGACAGAAAGGUAAAAAUGUUCAGACCUAUAACAAAUUAGAGAAUGAAGGAAAAAAAUGAUUGUUCAACCAAAUUAUCCAGUAAUGAUUCAAAGGCAAACACAAGAUGAAAUGAUGACACUCAAAUUCUCAACCAGACUUCUGUAAAUGAAGCCUCAACAUCGAGGACAUUCAGCAUCUUUGGCAGCAACUUUGGACAAGGGAUGGCCAAAAGGGGAGAUCCUGAGUAAGAAUUCCCUCUCAGGAAAACACGGAGUGUCCCAUAACCAUGAUAACUAGUAACCACAAGAACCAGUUUUAAGUGCAUCUAAUGGAUCAAUGACGACUCAGCUCUGUGACAUCACUUUUUAAAGCCAGCUAACCAGUGACAGGCCACACUUCUGCAGGUUCACCACUUGGCAGCACAAUCACGUGAGGAACCACCCUUGGGAAAACCAGCUAAUCAGCACCAGAUGCACACUACUAAGUAACAUUGAUCACCCAAAUAGCAAAACCAAAUGCAUGAGCACCUCCACUUCUCAAAGUCCACCCACCUCUUAGCUGCACACCUCUCUGAAUCCUACAUAUAAUCAACUCCCCGCUCUGCUGGGAGAGAUUGUUCCUACAGGCAAAGCUUUCUUUGAGUUAGGCAUGGGAAAGUUCAACUUCAUUGAGUGCUGGCCUCCUUCUUUGUCAAUCUAAUAAAAAGAUCCCUUUGAUUAAUUUAGUUUUUUUAGAGUGAACAUGUUGCUUUCUUGUUUAAUGUGUAGAAUAUUUAUGCAGGGAAUGGUAGAGAACAUGCCUGCAAACUAGUGGAUAGAUCCAACAAAUCUUUUGAAUUUCCCAAUAAAAAUUUUUGGUUAUUUAUGAGAAAGAAACAAUCAAAAGACAAUAAUUUUAUUACAGAAAGUUCAGAAGCAUUUGCUUGGGUUUCUCUUAAGAGAAACAAGAGAGCAGACGUUUCUCAGAACAGUCCCACCUUCAGCGAAUGUUCAGGUUAACAUGCCAUCAGCCAUUACUUCCUUUUGAUAUCUUGUCUUGCUCUGCUUUCUGCACUGAUAUAAGCUUUGUGAACUCACUCUAUCUCACUUCCUCUAUAGCUCUGCCUGGGUUUACACAAGAGAAAAACAAACAGUAAACCUGACAUACAAGACGGUGAUUGCAUAUUAUAUGGUAUCAUACUUUUCAGACAUUUUUUUUUCCUAGAAUAACUACUUCUUUCUGGACCUGAUGAGAACACAGAACACCCAGCUUCUCCCCUUCAUUCUCCCAACACACGCAAAUUAUAGGUGGAUAACUCAUUCCAACUUUUACAGAACAGAAAAACCACUAUGACGUUUAGACUUCUUUUAAAGGAAAGAGAUCAAGGGGUUAAGGAAAAAUCAUCCAAUAAUUUGGUUCAAGAACUCCUUGACCUUAACCCAUUUGCUGUUUGCAGACUCAUACCUGCAUCUAUAAAAUGUGAAAACACCAAAAUAAAAGAGGUGACCUCACAACAGAAAGUAUGUAAAAUUUGACUUCUCCCAUGGUGGUGGAAGGAUUGACAACCAUUCACAUGAUGCACAAACUAAGAUCCAUUAAUGUACUAUUUCUCAUAAGUAAAAGUAACAUGGCCAUGAAUGUAAAACAUUUCCUUAAGCGUUAUUCAAAUUUAACUUCAAUUUUAAUAACGGGCACUUUUCCCUGAUCUUUAAAUGAUUCAUAACAACUGAUAAUGUGAUAUAGGAACCAUUGAGUCAGCUUUCUAUAUUGGAAUAAUUUAAGAGAUAGAAAAUGCACUUAAUAAUUUCAAAUGUUUCUUUAAUAUCAUAGUUAACAUUCUUGUUGCUAAUGAGCUGUUUCUAAAUUGCAUUACUCCUUAGAGAAUAUGCUUAUAGUCUUUCCUUCAAACUCUAUAAUAAUAGUUUAUUCAAUUAAAAAUAGAGGAUAAGAUAUUCCUAAAACUAUAGACAGAAUAGGGAAUGUAGAGUUUAAACACAAGUAAAAAGAUGCUACAUAAUUUCUAGUUUAUGGCAGGUUUACCUUCUUUGAGACCCCAAGUCGUGGGUGGUGUCGAGUGCAGGACUAAGCACGCCAGAGACUUUAAGAUGGACGCAGUCAGAGGACACGCCUUUCGGAGGAAAUCAGUGAACCACCACUUUGUGUAAGCUGUACCUUUCAGAGACACGGUAUGUACUUGCUAAGUCAGUCAGUGUCCCAAGAGGAAUUAGACAUCACGCUGAGCUGGGAUAUUUAUAAUGAUGUGUGCAAGGUCAAAAUAAAACCAAAAGGAAUGUUUUAGACUCAGAAUUUAGCAACUGCAAGGACCUAUGAUCAAACAUAGGCAUAAUCCAAGGGGAGAGAGCUGCUUGAGAACCCAAAGAGAGAGAGCUGUAGGUAUAGAAAAGGGUCACCCGUAAGAAGCAGUGACCUUCAGUGAAGCACCACAUCACUGUCAACCCACAGUUCAGCAGGCAGGAAACCACAGGAGUAAAGAGUCAAACCUCAUUCCCCUCCCAGGCUAUGAUCUGCUCCCAGUACCUCCCAUUGCACAGAUUCAGUUGGAAGCCUGGGGACAAAGGAGCAAGUUGAAACAGUCCAUAAAGGUCAGCCAGAGAAGUCGGAGGGGAGAAUCCUUGUCCUGGCCUUUUCCAGCUUCUAGAGGCUGCCUCCGUUCCUUGGCUCGUGGCCCCUCCCUCCAUCUUUAGAGCCAGUAAUGGCUGGUUGAGUUUUUCUCACAUCACAUACUCUCUCUGACUCUUCUGCCUUCUUCUCCCACUUUUCAGGACCCUUGAUUACAUUGGGCCCAUCUGGAUAACCCAGGAUAAUCUCCCCAUCUCAAAAUCAGCUGACAAACAAA